Molecule: ribosomal RNA, 536 nt
Filed under: uncultured archaeon
Lineage: Archaea
Description: bacterial SSU rRNA
Rfam family: Bacterial small subunit ribosomal RNA
Source: RNAcentral
CGCCGCGGUAACACGUAGGGGGCAAGCGUUGUCCGGAAUUACUGGGCGUAAAGGGCGUGUAGGCGGCCAUGUAUGUCAGGUGUGAAAUGCCACGGCUUAACCGGGGCACUGCACAUGAAACUGGAUGGCUUGAGUGCAGGAGAGGGAAGUGGAAUUCCUAGUGUAGCGGUGAAAUGCGUAGAUAUUAGGAGGAACACCAGUGGCGAAGGCGACUUCCUGGACUGUAACUGACGCUGAGGCGCGAAAGCGUGGGUAGCAAACAGGAUUAGAUACCCUGGUAGUCCACGCUGUAAACGAUGGGUACUAGGUGUGGGUAGUUCACUCUAUCCGUGCCGCAGCAAACGCAAUAAGUACCCCGCCUGGGGAGUACGGCCGCAAGGUUGAAACUCAAAGGAAUUGACGGGGGCCCGCACAAGCAGCGGAGCAUGUGGUUUAAUUCGAAGCAACGCGAAGAACCUUACCAGGGCUUGACAUGGCCGUGACAUGUUUAGAGAUAAACAGUUCUUUCGGGACAUGGUCACAGGUGGUGCAUGGCC